GGAUUAGAUACCCUGGUAGUCCACGCCGUAAACGAUGUCUACUAGCCGUUGGGGUACUUAGAUGCCUUAGUGGCGCAGCUAACGCGAUAAGUAGACCGCCUGGGGAGUACGGCCGCAAGGUUAAAACUCAAAUGAAUUGACGGGGGCCCGCACAAGCGGUGGAGCAUGUGGUUUAAUUCGAUGCAACGCGAAGAACCUUACCUGGUCUUGACAUCCUGCGAAGCUUUUAGAGAUAGAAGUGUGCCUUCGGGAGCGCAGAGACAGGUGCUGCAUGGCUGUCGUCAGCUCGUGCCG
RNAcentral lists this ribosomal RNA (294 nucleotides) under uncultured bacterium. Its description in RNAcentral is "partial 16S ribosomal RNA". It matches the Rfam family "Bacterial small subunit ribosomal RNA", at positions 775 to 1067 of the family's 1533-position model. The record is from RNAcentral.